Molecule: long non-coding RNA, 873 nt
Filed under: Brassica napus (rape)
Lineage: Eukaryota; Viridiplantae; Streptophyta; Magnoliopsida; Brassicales; Brassicaceae
Description: long non-coding RNA (BNAP_LNC011466)
Source: RNAcentral
UUAUAAUUAUUAAAGUAAAAAAUUAAAGGAUCAUUUUGUAAAUAAAAAAAAUAUGCUUCUAUUAUAGAGGAAUGCUAUUUCUUCCUCUAAAUAUAGAGGUGAAAAUAACACUUUCUAUUUUAGAGAAAAAAAUAUAGUAGGGUUAGAGUGAUUUUAUCUCUAAAUGUUAUUAUAGAAGCAAAUAUAGAGAUGGGUUAGAGAUGCUCUAAGCUCCUCUCUUCCUUAGUUUGGUUCCUUGUCUUUGAAAUGAUUUUAUCCCGCUGCAAAAUCCUCCUUCGCUUCUCUUCGACGUCAAUUGAUUGAACUCUUGCUAUUUCAGAUGUUAAUAAAGUGAUCACUUAGUCGAUACAAAAGAAGAUCUUUUGUUGGACCGCUAUGAGGCGCCAAACUCAGCUAAAUAUCCUAUGAGAAAAAUGGAUUUGAUCUAUCACCAUCGUCAUCCUUCCCUUCGGAAAGCUUCGCCUUGUUACCCACUUUUCCAGGGAACCUUCAAACAGGUGAAGCUGAUAUCCUAAAGAAAAGAAUUAGAGCAUAUCCUUAAUAGAAAGAUAAUCAAGCAUUGACAGUUUGGGAUAAAAUUUAAACAUUCGAAAGAGGUACAAGGAAAAACAAAACAAAAAGAUCGCCACCGCAAAGAUUAUAAUCCGCUAGACGGAACUUCUAAUCGAUCCAUAGAUCGAAGUUUAUAUAUAUUAGAAACAAAUGAGACACAAUCAGUUCUCUCCUUUUGAAAGAUAUUUGUUUGAUAAGAAGGUAAAAAUCGAGAUGAUUCUCCCUUCUAAUCGUGUUUCUAUGUGUCAAAUAAUCAUUGUCUUAGAUUUUUAAUAUAAAAUUAUACGUAAUUUGUAAUCGCGAGUCAAAAUGAAUGAAAAU